This 397-nucleotide ribosomal RNA is filed under the name Craugastor podiciferus (Cerro Utyum robber frog). Its description in RNAcentral is "partial 16S ribosomal RNA". It matches the Rfam family "Bacterial large subunit ribosomal RNA", at positions 1946 to 2531 of the family's 2925-position model. Lineage: Eukaryota; Metazoa; Chordata; Amphibia; Anura; Craugastoridae. The record is from RNAcentral.
CCGUGCAAAGGUAGCACAAUCACUUGUCUCCUAAAUCGAGACCUGAUGAAUGGAUCACGAGGAUUCAACUGUCUCCCCUCACCAAUCAGUGAAACUAAUCUCCCUGUGAAAAAGCAGGACUACUUAUACAAGACGAGAAGACCCUAUGGAGCUUUAAACCACUAACACUUGCUCUACUUCCCAUAACCAUUUAGCAUAGUACUUACACGUUUUCGGUUGGGGCGACCCUGGAGAAAAACCUAACCUCCAUGCUGUUAAAUAUAUGAACCUCAAUUCUACAAUCAACAUAUUGACACAAUUGACCCAAACAUUUGAUCAACGAACCAAGUUACCCUAGGGAUAACAGCGCCAUCCACUUCAAGAGUACAUAUCUACAAGUGGGCUUACGACCUCGAUG